CUUCACAUAAUUUUCCUGCUGGUGGGUAGCGCGAGUCAGUAGCAACCGUCUUCAAGCAAGGAAGGUACAGUAAGAUUAGUGGUUGCAACUCGGAGGCAGGGUUUUAGUACUUUCUAUUUCAAAUUCUGUCAACACUUAACCAUUUGUGUCACCUCGAGCUCGGGAGCUGCCCGGGUUGAAAGCUGCACAGUCUUGCCUGGAAGGAAUUCUGCUCCUAGCUACAGUCACCGGGUAAGGUAAGGUUUUUGUUGUCGGUUUGGAUCUUUUGUGGUGGUUGUUGGUUGGUUGGUUGGUUUGAGCCCUAUCCAAGAUCAUUUCCCUUCACCCACUACUCGAACCUACUUAAGAGUUUUUAAACUGUGUGCAGAGUAAAAAGUGAGUAAACCUGAGAGUAGGCCC
RNAcentral lists this long non-coding RNA (399 nucleotides) under Mustela putorius furo (domestic ferret). RNAcentral describes it as "lncRNA (ENSMPUG00000029965.1)". The record is from RNAcentral. Lineage: Eukaryota; Metazoa; Chordata; Mammalia; Carnivora; Mustelidae.